This 1362-nucleotide long non-coding RNA is filed under the name Junco hyemalis (dark-eyed junco). RNAcentral describes it as "lncRNA (ENSJHYG00000014172.1)". Lineage: Eukaryota; Metazoa; Chordata; Aves; Passeriformes; Passerellidae. The record is from RNAcentral.
CUUCUGAUUUCAUUACACUCAGUGCUGAGACUGGUUUGGAAUAUGAAUUUGGGGCAAAGAUAAAAGGCUAUGUUGGUGUCCUUUACCUAUCAACUCUCUACCAGUAUUACUUAAGAUGGAUCUAGACAAGGAUCCCACCUCAUAUAUCUCAGGGAAAAAUAUUUGUGAUUGACAUGUGUUUCUAUCAAACACCACGAGUGCUAAAACGUACCUUUUACAUCCUUGUGCCAUGACUGAAAUCUUAGCAUAAGUCAGAAGAAACUUCAUCUUUGUGUCAGAAUCAGCUCCUGGCUGGCCAAUACAAUGUUCCUAGUAUGGCAUAGUAUUAGCCAAGCUGCUCUUGGCUAAUGUUGGUCUGCAGUUUUUGUGUUAUAACACUUAAAGGUGAGAUUUUGCUCUUUUGGUUUGUUUGUAAUUAAAAUAGAUGAAUUAGUUACCUCCAAUUUACAGGUAGCUCCAGAAACAUAAAGACAAUACACAGUGCCCUAGAUUUAUGAUCUAUUUUGUUGAACUGAAUAAAACCUUUUUAUACAGUGACAGAAACAUAACUAGAGUAGCAAAUGGUGCUCCUUUACCUGUUAUUAUCUGUGUUGCCGUGAAGCCUAGGAUACCUGUCUGAUUUAAGUUAUUUCAUCUUUCUGUGUCCUAGGAGACUGUGAAAAAUAGAAAAAAUGCCAUAACAUUUUUCUCCAGAAUGGAUAAUAUGGGAAUUAGCUUCCUUUUUCAUUCUGAUGUAAGGGAAAAAAAAACCCAACAACCCAGGCUUUCAGUCAAAUUCUCACCUACUGAAGAUGUGUACUGAUUUGUGGAUCAUGGCCAACGACUCUGAAGUCUUGUCAAUUCUAUUCUGCAGGCUUUCUAAAAGAGAAAAGACAAGAACUCUUUUCUCCAACCAGCUGAAAACUUGUCCUGGUCAUUAAUACCUCACCCUCCAUGACUUCUCCUGGCUCCUCCACUCAGAUUAACAGAAUACAGUCCAAGGCAUACCCAUGGCUGUGUGGAAACCAUACACUGGAGCUGGGUCACCAGUUUAUCAGCCAGGCUUUGACUGCAGGCAGCAGCUCCACAAUGACUCUGAGCAAGACCAGGAUCAAUGACCAGUGAAAGUAAAUGCCAGACCACAGUUGUCUCUGCAGGAUGCAUUCAUGGAGAGCUGGGAAUUUCCAUACCCUCCUGGCUGAGACGAUAAGUGCUUGAAUAUUUCACAGCAAAAAAGUCCUGGGAAAAGCAGAACUAUUUCUUGUGAUAAAGGCUGGCUGCACAUUUUGGGAAGAUGAGCUUGUCAGGGAUGUUGCUGCACUCAGGCUGAACCUGUGGGAAGUGUGCCUGUUCCUAAUAAAUGUUGUGUGUAUUUAUGUGGCA